Molecule: ribosomal RNA, 327 nt
Filed under: uncultured bacterium
Lineage: Bacteria
Description: bacterial SSU rRNA
Rfam family: Bacterial small subunit ribosomal RNA
Source: RNAcentral
GACGAACGCUGGCGGCGCGCCUAACACAUGCAAGUCGAGCGAUGAGAUUUGCAAUGAUUCCUUCGGGAAGAUUUGCAAAAGGAUUAGCGGCGAACGGGUGAGUAACGCGUGAGAAACCUACCUAUCACAACGGGAUAGCCUCGGGAAACUGGGAUUAAUACCGUAUGACACCCUAAUGACUCCUGUCAUCUGGGUUAAAGUGACUUAGCGGUGAUAGAUGGUCUCGCGUCUGAUUAGUUAGUUGGUGAGGUAACGGCUCACCAAGGCCACGAUCAGUAACCGGCCUGAGAGGGUGAACGGUCACAUUGGAACUGAGACACGGUCCAA